Molecule: transfer RNA, 83 nt
Filed under: Felis catus (domestic cat)
Lineage: Eukaryota; Metazoa; Chordata; Mammalia; Carnivora; Felidae
Also listed under: 4 other names
Rfam family: tRNA
About the family: Transfer RNA (tRNA) molecules are approximately 80 nucleotides in length. Their secondary structure includes four short double-helical elements and three loops (D, anti-codon, and T loops).
Source: Rfam by way of RNAcentral
GCCUAGGUGGCUCAAUCAGUUGAGCAUCUGACUUCAGCUCAGGCCAUGAUCUCACAGUCUGGGUUCGAGCCCCAUGUUGGGCU